GAUGAAGAACGCAGCGAAAUGCGAUACGUAAUGUGAAUUGCAGAUUUCAGUGAAUCAUCGAAUCUUUGAACGCACAUUGCGCCCGCUAGUAUUCUGGCGGGCAUGUCUGUUCGAGCGUCAUUUCAACCAUCAAGCCCUAGGCUUGCGUUGGAGCCCUGCGGCUGCCGCAGGCUCCCAAAUCCAGUGGCGGGCUCGUCGUCGUACCGAGUGCAGUAAACAUCCUCGCUCAGGGAACGUGACGGGUUCUUGCCGUGAAACCCCCCACAUAUCAAGGUUGACCUCGGAUCAGGUAGGAAUACCCGCUGAACUUAAGCAUAUCAAUAAGCGGAGGA
This 332-nucleotide unclassified non-coding RNA is filed under the name soil metagenome. RNAcentral describes it as "partial contains 5.8S ribosomal RNA, internal transcribed spacer 2, and large subunit ribosomal RNA". The stretch from base 1 to 120 matches the Rfam family "5.8S ribosomal RNA", at positions 35 to 154 of the family's 154-position model. The record is from RNAcentral.